Long non-coding RNA from Acanthochromis polyacanthus (spiny chromis), 1791 nucleotides. RefSeq lists it as uncharacterized. The record is from RefSeq and is a predicted model, not a curated record. The transcript is spliced from 2 exons. NCBI's taxonomy places the organism in Eukaryota, Metazoa, Chordata, Actinopteri, Pomacentridae.
UAUCUUUUUCAGCAAAAAUUAGUUAACUUGUCACAGUAGGGGUGAAUAUAAUAAAUAAUGGCUAAAUUGCCUGUAGCUGUUUUGCUCACAGUGACUCUUUAUUUAAUUCUAUUUUAUGUUAAAUAAUAAUAGUAAAUAAGAAAAAAAGAGCAGUAGCAAAUUCAUUAUGUUUUAAUGUAUUUUUAAAAAAAGUAAAGUAUCUCACAAAGUACGUUUAAAUGUUUUAAGAAGGUUUAAUGAUAAAAUUAAUGACCAUAUUACCUGUAGCUGCUUUGCUUUAUUCCUAGUGACGUUGUCUUACAUUACUGAUCAAGUUAUGACAUCUAGAUCAAGUUAAGGGCACAUUUUGUUCCAUUUUUCAGUUCGUUUUUACAUUAUUGGGUGUUACAACUGUAAUAAAUAACUUCAACUCCCCCGGUCGACCAGCAGAUAGCGCUACUGGCGCACUGAUGGCCUGAAGAGCAACUGUACCUAACAGUAAAAGAAGGACACCGCUUUGAAAAGGGGAAAGCCAUUUUCUUACUGACCUUUGUGUCUAGUUUUAAAAAGCCAGUUUACGUUUCUUCAUGUUCGGUAUGGCUAGUCGACAGCGGUCAGUUAUCGUAACCUGGUAUUGUUUGUUAAAAAACGCCUCCUUUAGCGUCAAGAAUGAGGAUAGACGUUACGUUGUCGGUUCUGCCGUUCAGUUGCACUAAAAUAAUUUUAAACCUGAUCACAAACAGAUCAAAGUCUGUUUCCGGUGCUGCAUUUAGUAGAAAAUGGACGAGGACGAAGCCUUGAGAAACUACUGCAGGGAAAUGAUUUGUCGUGUCCGAAGCAAGCAGCUGCCUCUUCAGCCCUGUAAGUUGAACCGGAGGAGACAAACCCACCGAGCAGCCGGAGGGAGUGACGGGACCCAGAGACGAGUUCCAGCCGAGAUCAGAGAUCCCCCAGAGGCGAACCUGAGUCUGAGUCACGGAGAACACAUCUACCGCCAUCAGUGUCAAGGUCCCGUCCCCCCUCAGCUCAUUGCCAUUCUGAGGCUCAAAACUUUCACGGAGCAGAUGAGGCGGGUCAGGAAACAUCCUUUGACCAUGUGACUGAUAUUAAGAUUGAAAAAAAGCCCCUCAGCGUCUCCUUUAUGUGUUUGUGUUCGGUGACAGGCUGCAGAGGUGGAGCUCCAUGAUCCGGCUGUUUGCAGUGUCUGCCAGCAGCAACAGGCUUCUCUGGCCUUGAAAACUUUUAUCAGGAGAAAGAAGACACAACUGCAGUUCCAAACACUGAAGGGCAGACUAAACAUGCCUGAGAUUGGACACUUUGGAGGGAGUUGGUGCAAAAUCUCCCAAAGCCCUCCAAUGCCCCUCACUGGAUUUGGGAGGAACUACUUAGUGAAGAUAUGCAGGUCACAGCAACCUGAGGUUGCCUUAGCAACCACUAAGGAACGUGGAGUUGCCCUGGCAACAGAUGAAAUGAGGGGUUACCCUGACAAAAAAGCUACAGGAACUCAUUUAGCAAGACCUCGCUGUCCUUUUUCAGACAGAUAGCUGCAGACAUGAUGGGCACAGCAUUAAUACAGUGAAAGGGACAAUGAUGUGGUGGAGUCAAACAUAUUCUACCUCUUUAUUUUCAAACACAGGCUAAACCCACCCAUUUGCCCUGCUUGGCUACAGCUGUGUUUACGUUCACACCACUAAAUAACAGAAACAAAUAUCUAGCCUUUGUUUUUGGUAUAAAAAGAAUGUGCUAACAAGGUUAGUACAAAACAGCAAUUUAUUUUCUUAUCACCGUAUUAAAGUUAAACACUCAACACUA